AAAUUCCUAGAAACCGUUUUAUUCAUUUAUGCGUCUGAAAAAUUCAAACUUGUCUUUUUUAACCUAUUUUUCUAACAUUACAUACGAUACAGAUCAAUCAAAAGUCGGAGUUCAAUGCGAUCUGUAAAAAAAAUUUGCAUCUUAUAAACAAAAAAUAUAUAAAAACAUAUUGAAAUCUGACUGUUUUCCGAGGCGUGAAAGUUUAUCCUGGGUAAUCGUUUUCGUCCGUAGUCAGCGCAGGUCAUUUUUCGAUUUUCUCGUUAAUUCUCCAAAUAAAUAGGGAAAAAUGGCAAUUUUUCGGUUAAUUUUUAUUGAUCUCUUGUUGGUUACUUUGGAAACACGGGAAGAAAUACGAUUAAUAAUAUUCUGUUCCGAAUCGUUUUUCGUCAGCGACGGUUUAUCGCUGCGCAAAUGAAAUUACUAUAUAAUAUUAUGCAAUAUUCCGUCAGACUGCUUUCUUAAAAACAGUGGCACACACCCAUCAGCGAAAUCAACAUUUUAUGCAUUACAAUUUUUAUCAAUAACCGUCCGACUUAUUAACGACAAUGUAUAUAUUGCUACACUGCAGUAUAUUAUAGUAUUGUAUAACUAUUAACUAUAUUAUAAUACUAUACAUGCAAGAUUUACGGGGUAUACGCCUUACUGUAAUUUUGAUAAAACGAACCGUUCUCGUAGCUAUACGAAAUUACACAUUUUCGCCCCGAUUUUUAUCACCACUACGAUGCCUUAUCAUCGUCGCCGUAGAAAAAUCGCGUGACACGAAAGCGUCCGAUUUUCUGCAAAUGUUCGCCGAUUACAGUAAUAACAAUAACAAUAAUAAUACUUCGAGGGCACACGAUAAACCAAACUCUAAGUAUAAAAGGUAAAUUAUACAUACACGUAUAUGUAUACGCGCGUUAUCAGCUACGGCCGAUAUUAUGGCAUUAUACGAUUUUUUUAUAAUGAUAUAUACGCGGUUAACGAUUUUCUACAACAUUAUUCGACAAAUAUUAUUAUUAUAAUUGCAUACGCGUGUGCGGUCACAUAUAGACGGUAGUUAAAUUCGGAAAAACUUCGAAGGUGGUGGGAGGAGCUAAAUUUAUUGAAAAUUGAGGGGCGUCAAUCCGAGAACUAUAACUAAACAUUCAGUUAACCCAUCGCGGAGACAAGAAUUCAAAAAUGUUUUUCUCUCGCACAAGAUUUGUUCGUAAACAAUGUUUUUUUUAUCCCACUUCCCCG
Cinara cedri is the source of this 1218-nucleotide non-coding RNA. NCBI's taxonomy places the organism in Eukaryota, Metazoa, Arthropoda, Insecta, Hemiptera, Aphididae. The record is from the annotation of a GenBank genome assembly.